This 984-nucleotide long non-coding RNA is filed under the name Chinchilla lanigera (long-tailed chinchilla). Its description in RNAcentral is "lncRNA (ENSCLAG00000025479.1)". Lineage: Eukaryota; Metazoa; Chordata; Mammalia; Rodentia; Chinchillidae. The record is from RNAcentral.
GUCCUCGCGCGUGUGUCUGCCGUCGCCUCCUCCUCGCGGAGCGGAGGGGCUCCCACUUGUGAAACGGCCAGCACGCGCGAGGCGCCCCGCCGCAGCCGGACCCGGACGGGCUGCUGUGCAUGUGCUGUCCUCCCCUUUUUCUAAAUUUUUUUUAAAAAUUUAUUUAUUUCCAGUUUAUUCUGGGCCUGUGUGGAAUAGAAAGACAGUUCUCUGCCUGACUGGAGGAGAGAAAAGAGAAGACUCCUCGGGGUUUCCAAGGAGCAAUGGAGCGGCUGCUUCAGAUGUAAAAGAUAGAGGGAACCACAGAAAAAAAUCAUUUCAUCUGUUUCGCAUUGUAAAGAGGAAAUGGAGGACUUCAACUGUGAAAAAACACAAAGCUAAGAAUCAUCCUUCCAUUUUUACACUGAGGUUUUCAUAUACCAAUUUGGUUGUAUUUGGCAAGAAAAUACAGACAGUGCUUUCAACACCUGUGAGUGCAUUGUCAAUAACUCCACUGAUGGUGUGGCACACAAUGUACUUCUCUAAAGAAAUCUAAUUAUAGAAAAUGGAAAUAAUGUAUCAAGAGUAUCCGUAUAACAAAGAUCCUCAAAUUGAAUAUAUGCAAAAUUCGCUCAAUUUUUUAAUACAUUAAUACAAUUGGAGGUAGGAUCCAGAGAUCUUUAUUUUUUACAAACUUUCAUGUUAUUAGAAUUCACAUGAUUUUGAAGUUCAUUCUCAUGUCUAUAGUAUCUUCCCUGAGCAAGAAAAGAAGUCAAAAAUGUAAACUUUGAGGAUGUUCCAGUUAAAAAAUCAUCUGAAAUUUUCUUUUACCUUUUUUCCAUGACUUAAGAAAAAGAAAAUCAUAUCCAACUUAGGAACCAGCAACUGAAGAAAUAUGCACCACCAUCCAUUGGGUUCAGGACAAACAUGUUAGUACUCGUGCUCAUCUCUGCCUUAAAGCGAUGAUUGUGGAAAUAAACUUUGGUCAUAAUUACUGUGCCCACU